GCCUGCUUAGCUCAGAGGUUAGAGCAUCACAUUUGUAAUGUGAUGGUAAUCUAUUUGAUUCCUAUAGCCGGCU
RNAcentral lists this transfer RNA (73 nucleotides) under Corsia dispar. Its description in RNAcentral is "tRNA-Thr". It matches the Rfam family "tRNA". Rfam says of the family: Transfer RNA (tRNA) molecules are approximately 80 nucleotides in length. Their secondary structure includes four short double-helical elements and three loops (D, anti-codon, and T loops). Lineage: Eukaryota; Viridiplantae; Streptophyta; Magnoliopsida; Liliales; Corsiaceae. The record is from RNAcentral.